Molecule: unclassified non-coding RNA, 280 nt
Filed under: uncultured fungus
Lineage: Eukaryota; Fungi
Description: sequence contains ITS1
Source: RNAcentral
UUGUUUUUAUUAUGAGAUGUAUCAGACAAUACUAGCUUUCACAAAGGUUUUUAUUAUAAUUAAGGCUAUCCACUGACAGUUCCUCAACCACUAGGAUUAAAUGGUUGAAGGACACAAAUACUAUUGAAUAUUGAUAGAUAUUCAAACAUAUACAUGCCAGCCUAGUGGAAGCAACAUGGAGUGAAUACACAAGGGAAAUUGGUAAAAUAUCUCUAAAAGAAAAAGAAGAGAUCUGUUUUCUUUUUUGAUAAUGAUCCUUCCGCAGGUUCACCUACGGAAA